ACUGCUGAUUUCAAGACUCCUCUUUUGGGCUGAGGGACUUCGAUUUGAAACUUUUUGGAGUGUGAAACGCCAAGGCAGGCUAACAAUUUCCAAUCAUAGAUUCUGGACGGUGGACAGCACAAUCCGGUUGGAUUUGGACACUGGAAUAUGCUAUGGGCUCCAUUUGUGGGCUCACAUCUUCACUUUUUUUCUGCUUUUUGCCCUUUUUCAACCACACUAUAUUAUGAGAUAAUAAUUUCUUAUUCAAAGUCCCCCAA
RNAcentral lists this unclassified non-coding RNA (257 nucleotides) under Hevea brasiliensis (rubber tree). Lineage: Eukaryota; Viridiplantae; Streptophyta; Magnoliopsida; Malpighiales; Euphorbiaceae. The record is from RNAcentral.